UCUGAUGGGCUUUUAAUCCUCCGACCCAACACAACGUGGUCUGCUGCUUCUAGCAACAUCGCCUUGUGCUUUUAGGGUUUCAGCUUCGUUCACAAAACCUUCGCUGCCGGCCUUUUCUCGGCCUUCACCAUUCCCUCCGCUCGCCAUGGCUGCCGCCGCUAGGUCGGUCCUUCGCUCGGCUUCGAUCCGCGGCGGCGCGGCGCGGGUCGCGGCCGAGGCCGUAGCGGCCUCGCGCCCUCAACUUCGCUGUCUCCCCAAACUGAGGCCGGCAGCCGCCAGUCGUUUCCUCAGGUCUCCCGUGGAGGCGAGCUUCUGUGUGGAGUCGCUAAUGCCGAUGCACAGCGCAACGGCCACGGCGUUGUUGACCUCGAUGCUCAAUGUUUCGCGUAGGGGAUAUGGAUGGCUCUCCGAAGGAUGUGAUGAAACUAGAUGAAAGUCAAGCACCAAAAGGUCUGUGAUUUUUCAGCACGGAGAAUUGCUAAACAGAGGUCAUGCUGCUCCUCUUCCUUCGCCUGUCUCCUCAAUUACCCCCAUUAUGAAUAAAGAGAAUUAUCUAAACUUUUCAAACUUGUGUUGCUUGGUCUUCGGUGGUUGGAGCUCAUGUACUUGUAGAUUAUGAGUCGUAGCUUCUCGUGUACCUUUCAUCAGUAGUACUUGUUGCGGUUAUCUGUUGUUGUUACAGUGUAGGCAGUUGCUAAAGUUGUUUCUUUUCAAAGAGUUAGAAGGAUAUGCACAUCAGUGAGUGUGUGUACUCGACUCUUUUAGACUGCCUCAUCUAAAAUAGCUUGUGGUAGAAGGAAAUUUGUUGGUUAACUAUAGUCAUCUAAAAUAAGACUCUUUUAGACUCUUUUAGACCGCCUCA
Molecule: non-coding RNA, 862 nt
Organism: Musa acuminata subsp. malaccensis (wild Malaysian banana)
Lineage: Eukaryota; Viridiplantae; Streptophyta; Magnoliopsida; Zingiberales; Musaceae
Source: RefSeq, a predicted model, not a curated record